Molecule: ribosomal RNA, 448 nt
Filed under: uncultured bacterium
Lineage: Bacteria
Description: bacterial SSU rRNA
Rfam family: Bacterial small subunit ribosomal RNA
Source: RNAcentral
AGCGAACGCUGGCGGCAGGCUUAACACAUGCAAGUCGAGCGGGCGUAGCAAUACGUCAGCGGCAGACGGGUGAGUAACGCGUGGGAACGUACCUUUUGGUUCGGAACAACACAGGGAAACUUGUGCUAAUACCGGAUAAGCCCUUACGGGGAAAGAUUUAUCGCCAAAGGAUCGGCCCGCGUCUGAUUAGCUAGUUGGUGAGGUAACGGCUCACCAAGGCGACGAUCAGUAGCUGGCUGAGAGGAUGAUCAGCCUCACUGGGACUGAGACACGGCCCAGACUCCUACGGGAGGCAGCAGUGGGGAAUAUUGGACAAUGGGCGCAAGCCUGAUCCAGCCAUGCCGCGUGGGUGAUGAAGGCCUUAGGGUUGUAAAGCCCUUUCGGCGGGGAAGAUAAUGACGGUACCCGCAGAAGAAGCCCCGGCUAACUUCGUGCCAGCAGCCGCCGU